GAUGAACGCUGGCGGCGUGCUUAACACAUGCAAGUCGAACGGAAAGGCCCGGCUCUUGUGGGUUUCUCGUGUGGCGAGCGGGUGAGUAACACACGAGUGAACCGCCCUUGACUUUGGGAUAACUUCACGAAACUGCGGCUAUUACCGCGUAGAAGCUCUUGAUGCAUGGGGUGGGAUGGAGAGAUUGGGCGGUUGGGGAUGGUAUCGCGGCUUAUGCGCUUGUUGGUGGGGUAGGGGCUGACAAGGGCUUUGAGGGGUAGCCGGCCUUAGAGGGUGACCGGGCUCAUGGGGACUGCGGGAGGGCCCAGAAGGCAACCGUAGGCAACAGUGGAGAAUAUUGCACAGCGGGCGGAAGUCAGAUGCAGCGACGCUGGGAGCGGGAUGACGUCUUACUGGUUGUAAACCGAUUUCGCAGGUGCCGAAGCGUGAGUGACGGUAAUGGGUAAAGAAGCACCGGCUAACUACGUG
RNAcentral lists this ribosomal RNA (468 nucleotides) under uncultured bacterium. RNAcentral describes it as "partial 16S ribosomal RNA". It matches the Rfam family "Bacterial small subunit ribosomal RNA", at positions 28 to 507 of the family's 1533-position model. The record is from RNAcentral.